CGUAGGUGGCAAGCGUUGUCCGGAUUUAUUGGGUUUAAAGGGUGCGUAGGCGGCUUUGUAAGUCAGUGGUGAAAUAUGGCAGCUUAACUGUCAGGGUGCCAUUGAUACUGCGGAGCUUGAGUACAGAUGAGGUAGGCGGAAUUGACGGUGUAGCGGUGAAAUGCUUAGAUAUCGUCAAGAACACCGAUAGCGAAGGCAGCUUACUGGGCUGUAACUGACGCUGAGGCACGAAAGUGUGGGGAUCAAACAGGAUUAGAUACCCUGGUAGUCCACACUGUAAACGUUGAUGACUCGCUGUUGGCGAUACACGGCCAGCGGCAGAGAGAAAUCGUUAAGUCAUCCACCUGGGGAGUACGCCGGCAACGGUG
RNAcentral lists this ribosomal RNA (368 nucleotides) under uncultured organism. RNAcentral's name for it is "bacterial SSU rRNA". It matches the Rfam family "Bacterial small subunit ribosomal RNA", at positions 526 to 896 of the family's 1533-position model. The record is from RNAcentral.